UACGGAGGGUGCAAGCGUUAUCCGGAUUCACUGGGUUUAAAGGGUGCGUAGGUGGCUUUGUAAGUCAGUGGUGAAAUAUGGCAGCUCAACUGUCAAGGUGCCAUUGAUACUGCAGAGCUUGAGUACAGAUGAGGUAGGCGGAAUUGACGGUGUAGCGGUGAAAUGCUUAGAUAUCGUCAAGAACACCUAUAGCGAAGGCAGCUUACUAGGCUGUAACUGACGCUGAGGCACGAAAGUGUGGGGAUCAAACAGG
Molecule: ribosomal RNA, 253 nt
Filed under: uncultured bacterium
Lineage: Bacteria
Description: partial 16S ribosomal RNA
Rfam family: Bacterial small subunit ribosomal RNA
Source: RNAcentral